GUCCCUCCGGCACCACUCCCAUACUUGCAUUUUUCUUUGCAUUUUUGUUUGCUAACAUUUAAAGUGUGGAAUUUCGCAUAAACGUCUGUAUUUCCUCUGCUUGAAAAAGGGCUUUGACUCCAACCUCUGAAAAUGCUUCAAUUCAAUGAAACUAAUGGCACUUUGGUCUCUGGAAUUAGAUCCUGUUAUCAAUGACUUCCACAUGGAAAGAUCAUUCCAAAAUGUGUAAUUAACCAAGAAAAUGCAAAUAAACCAAUUUGUACCUGCUAUUUAGAGGUAAGACACAGAA
This 289-nucleotide long non-coding RNA is filed under the name Homo sapiens (human). RNAcentral describes it as "CCDC39 antisense RNA 1 (CCDC39-AS1)". The record is from RNAcentral. Lineage: Eukaryota; Metazoa; Chordata; Mammalia; Primates; Hominidae.